Molecule: ribosomal RNA, 922 nt
Filed under: Postia sericeomollis
Lineage: Eukaryota; Fungi; Basidiomycota; Agaricomycetes; Polyporales; Postiaceae
Description: LSU rRNA
Rfam family: Eukaryotic large subunit ribosomal RNA
Source: RNAcentral
AGCAUAUCAAUAAGCGGAGGAAAAGAAACUAACAAGGAUUCCCCUAGUAACUGCGAGUGAAGCGGGAAAAGCUCAAAUUUAAAAUCUGGCGGUCCUUGCGGCUGUCCGAGUUGUAAUCUGGAGAAGUGCUUUCCGUGCUGGACCGUGUACAAGUCUCUUGGAACAGAGCGUCGUAGAGGGUGAGAAUCCCGUCUUUGACACGGACUACCAGUGCUUUGUGAUGCGCUCUCAAAGAGUCGAGUUGUUUGGGAAUGCAGCUCAAAAUGGGUGGUAAAUUCCAUCUAAAGCUAAAUAUUGGCGAGAGACCGAUAGCGAACAAGUACCGUGAGGGAAAGAUGAAAAGAACUUUGGAAAGAGAGUUAAACAGUACGUGAAAUUGCUGAAAGGGAAACRCUUGAAGUCAGUCGCGUUGGCCGGAACUCAGCCUUGCUUUUGCUUGGUGCACUUUCUGGUCGACGGGUCAGCAUCAGUUUUGAUUGUCGGAUAAUGGUCGAGGGAAUGUGGCAUCUUCGGAUGUGUUAUAGCCCUUGGUCGCAUACGAUGGUUGGGACUGAGGAUCUCAGCACACCUUUAUGGUCGGGGUUCGCCCACGUUUGUGCUUAGGAUGCUGGCAUAAUGGCUUUAAAYGACCCGUCUUGAAACACGGACCAAGGAGUCUAACAUGCAUGCGAGUGUUUGGGUGGAAAACCCGAGCGCGUAAUGAAAGUGAAAGUUGAGACCUCUGUCGUGGAGGGCAUCGACGCCCGGACCAGACCUUCUGUGACGGCUCUGCGGUAGAGCAUGUAUGUUGGGACCCGAAAGAUGGUGAACUAUGCCUGAAUAGGGUGAAGCCAGAGGAAACUCUGGUGGAGGCUCGUAGCGAUUCUGACGUGCAAAUCGAUCGUCAAAUUUGGGUAUAGGGGCGAAAGACUAAUCGAACCAU